RNAcentral lists this ribosomal RNA (433 nucleotides) under uncultured bacterium. Its description in RNAcentral is "bacterial SSU rRNA". It matches the Rfam family "Bacterial small subunit ribosomal RNA", at positions 27 to 507 of the family's 1533-position model. The record is from RNAcentral.
GAACGAACGCUGGCGGCAUGCCUAACACAUGCAAGUCGAACGAGACCUUCGGGUCUAGUGGCGCACGGGUGCGUAACGCGUGGGAACCUGCCUUAGGUUCGGAAUAACUCAGAGAAAUUUGAGCUAAUACCGGAUAAUGUCUUCGGACCAAAGAUUUAUCGCCUUUAGAUGGGCCCGCGUUGGAUUAGCUAGUUGGUGGGGUAAAGGCCUACCAAGGCGACGAUCCAUAGCUGGUCUGAGAGGAUGAUCAGCCACACUGGGACUGAGACACGGCCCAGACUCCUACGGGAGGCAGCAGUGGGGAAUAUUGGACAAUGGGCGAAAGCCUGAUCCAGCAAUGCCGCGUGAGUGAUGAAGGCCUUAGGGUUGUAAAGCUCUUUUACCCGAGAUGAUAAUGACAGUAUCGGGAGAAUAAGCUCCGGCUAACUCCGUG